GAUGAACGCUGGCGGCGUGCCUAAUACAUGCAAGUCGAGCGAACGGACGAGAAGCUUGCUUCUCUGAUGUUAGCGGCGGACGGGUGAGUAACACGUGGAUAACCUACCUAUAAGACUGGGAUAACUUCGGGAAACCGGAGCUAAUACCGGAUAAUAUUUUGAACCGCAUGGUUCAAAAGUGAAAGACGGUCUUGCUGUCACUUAUAGAUGGAUCCGCGCUGCAUUAGCUAGUUGGUAAGGUAACGGCUUACCAAGGCAACGAUGCAUAGCCGACCUGAGAGGGUGAUCGGCCACACUGGAACUGAGACACGGUCCAGACUCCUACGGGAGGCAGCAGUAGGGAAUCUUCCGCAAUGGGCGAAAGCCUGACGGAGCAACGCCGCGUGAGUGAUGAAGGUCUUCGGAUCGUAAAACUCUGUUAUUAGGGAAGAACAUAUGUGUAAGUAACUGUGCACAUCUUGACGGUACCUAAUCAGAAAGCCACGGCUAACUACGUGCCAGCAGCCGCGGUAAUACGUAGGUGGCAAGCGUUAUCCGGAAUUAUUGGGCGUAAAGCGCGCGUAGGCGGUUUUUUAAGUCUGAUGUGAAAGCCCACGGCUCAACCCGUGGAGGGUCAUUGGAAACUGGAAAACUUGAGUGCAGAAGAGGAAAGUGGAAUUCCAUGUGUAGCGGUGAAAUGCGCAGAGAUAUGGAGGAACACCAGUGGCGAAGGCGACUUUCUGGUCUGUAACUGACGCUGAUGUGCGAAAGCGUGGGGAUCAAACAGGAUUAGAUACCCUGGUAGUCCACGCCGUAAACGAUGAGUGCUAAGUGUUAGGGGGUUUCCGCCCCUUAGUGCUGCAGCUAACGCAUUAAGCACUCCGCCUGGGGAGUACGACCGCAAGGUUGAAACUCAAAGGAAUUGACGGGGACCCGCACAAGCGGUGGAGCAUGUGGUUUAAUUCGAAGCAACGCGAAGAACCUUACCAAAUCUUGGCAUCCUUUGACAACUCUAGAGAUAGAGCCUUCCCCUUCGGGGGACAAAGUGACAGGUGGUGCAUGGUUGUCGUCAGCUCGUGUCGUGAGAUGUUGGGUUAAGUCCCGCAACGAGCGCAACCCUUAAGCUUAGUUGCCAUCAUUAAGUUGGGCACUCUAAGCUGACUGCUGGUGACAAACCGGAGGAAGGUGGGGAUGACGUCAAAUCAUCAUGCCCCUUAUGAUUUGGGCUACACACGUGCUACAAUGGACAAUACAAAGGGCAGCGAAACCGCGAGGUCAAGCAAAUCCCAUAAAGUUGUUCUCAGUUCGGAUUGUAGUCUGCAACUCGACUACAUGAAGCUGGAAUCGCUAGUAAUCGUAGAUCAGCAUGCUACGGUGAAUACGUUCCCGGGUCU
This 1373-nucleotide ribosomal RNA is filed under the name uncultured bacterium. RNAcentral describes it as "bacterial SSU rRNA". It matches the Rfam family "Bacterial small subunit ribosomal RNA", at positions 28 to 1381 of the family's 1533-position model. The record is from RNAcentral.